RNAcentral lists this ribosomal RNA (274 nucleotides) under uncultured bacterium. Its description in RNAcentral is "partial 16S ribosomal RNA". It matches the Rfam family "Bacterial small subunit ribosomal RNA", at positions 523 to 796 of the family's 1533-position model. The record is from RNAcentral.
AUACGGAGGGUGCAAGCGUUAUUCGGAAUCACAGGGCGUAAAGGACGCGUAGGCGGGUUGGCAAGUCAGAUGUGAAAUCCUACAGCGUAACUGUAGAACUGCAUUUGAAACUGCUAACCUAGAGUAUGGGAGGGGGAGAUGGAAUUAGUGGUGUAGGGGUAAAAUCCGUAGAUAUCACUAGGAAUACCGAAAGCGAAGGCGAUCUCCUGGAACAUAACUGACGCUAAGGCGUGAAAGCGUGGGGAGCAAACAGGAUUAGAAACCCUUGUAGUCC